Molecule: non-coding RNA, 73 nt
Organism: Hysterangium stoloniferum
Lineage: Eukaryota; Fungi; Basidiomycota; Agaricomycetes; Hysterangiales; Hysterangiaceae
Source: the annotation of a GenBank genome assembly
GGGUUGGUAGCUCAGUGGUAGAACGACUGGUCUAGAUUACAGAUUGUCCCAGGUUCAAUUCCUAGCUAGUCCA